Molecule: long non-coding RNA, 493 nt
Organism: Acipenser ruthenus (sterlet)
Lineage: Eukaryota; Metazoa; Chordata; Actinopteri; Acipenseriformes; Acipenseridae
Exons: 3
Source: RefSeq, a predicted model, not a curated record
UCAGUGUUCACAAAGCUUAGAUGCGAAAACCUGCAGCAGAUUUUUACAGAUCGCACUGUCUCAUCGGUUUUUUUUAUUGCUGUUUUUUACACAGAUGAAUAGCACCUAUUUAGAUCGCAUGUUUGAAAACAGCUAUUAACUUUUCGUAACAGAACAUUUCUGGGAUUGUUUGCUACUUGGGAUUUACAGUUGUACAUCAAACUCCAAAUGAUAAUCUGUUUGGUGAAUAUUCGCGUCAGGGAAUAGCAGCUGGAAAAGAGAAAUACAAUGGGGAAACUCCAGUCAAAACACGCAUGCAAGCGCAGAGAAAGUCCUGAAGGAGACAGUUUUGUUGUAAACGCGUACAUCACUCGGAGAGGUUUGGAGGAGUGUGACAAAUACAACGGAGUCGAGAACAGAAUCAGAGAUAGACAGGUAAGACACUUGUUUAAUAAAUCUCGCAUUUUUUAUCAUCCAAGAUGUAUACUGAAAACUUACAUUAAAACAGCAUUUA